UCCAAGGUCGAGGAACGGAAGGAUUUCAACUGGGCCGACCUGGUCAUAAGCUGGCCUGUAGCUGAUGCUGAGCA
Molecule: long non-coding RNA, 74 nt
Organism: Myotis davidii
Lineage: Eukaryota; Metazoa; Chordata; Mammalia; Chiroptera; Vespertilionidae
Exons: 3
Source: RefSeq, a predicted model, not a curated record